CAGUCGAGCGAGUCUGCCUUGAAGAUCGGAGUGCUUGCACUCUGUGAAACAAGAUACAGGCUAGCGGCGGGCGGGUGAGUAACACGUGGGUAACCUGCCCAAGAGAUCGGGAUAACACCUGGAAACAGAUGCUAAUACCGGAUAACAACAGAUGAUGCCUAUCAACUGUUUAAAAGAUGGUUCUGCUAUCACUCUUGGAUGGACCUGCGGUGCAUUAGCUAGUUGGUAGGGUAACGGCCUACCAAGGCGAUGAUGCAUAGCCGAGUUGAGAGACUGAUCGGCCACAUUGGGACUGAGACACGGCCCAAACUCCUACGGGAGGCAGCAGUAGGGAAUCUUCCACAAUGGACGCAAGUCUGAUGGAGCAACGCCGCGUGAGUGAAGAAGGGUUUCGGCUCGUAAAGCUCUGUUGUUGGUGAAGAAGGACAGGGGUAGUAACUGACCUUUGUUUGACGGUAAUCAAUUAGAAAGUCACGGCUAACUACGUGCCAGCAGCCGCGGUAAUACGUAGGUGGCAAGCGUUGUCCGGAUUUAUUGGGCGUAAAGCGAGUGCAGGCGGUUCGAUAAGUCUGAUGUGAAAGCCUUCGGCUCAACCGGAGAAUUGCAUCAGAAACUGUCGAGCUUGNNNNCAGAAGAGGAGAGUGGAACUCCAUGUGUAGCGGUGAAAUGCGUAGAUAUAUGGAAGAACACCGGUGGCGAAGGCGGCUCUCUGGUCUGUUACUGACGCUGAGGCUCGAAAGC
Molecule: ribosomal RNA, 741 nt
Filed under: uncultured bacterium
Lineage: Bacteria
Description: bacterial SSU rRNA
Rfam family: Bacterial small subunit ribosomal RNA
Source: RNAcentral